UACGUAGGGUGCGAGCGUUGUCCGGAUUCACUGGGCGUAAAGCGCGUGCAGGUGGUUUGGUAAGUCGGGCAUGAAAACUCUUGGCUCAACUAAGAGACGCUGUCCGAUACUGCCAGGCUUGAGGGCAUAAGAGGGAGGUGGAAUUCCGCAUGUAGUGGUGAAAUGCGUAGAUAUGCGGAGGAACACCAGUGGCGAAGGCGGCCUCCUGGUAUGCUCCUGACACUCAGACGCGAAAGCUAGGGGAGCGAACGGG
This 253-nucleotide ribosomal RNA is filed under the name uncultured bacterium. RNAcentral's name for it is "partial 16S ribosomal RNA". It matches the Rfam family "Bacterial small subunit ribosomal RNA", at positions 524 to 776 of the family's 1533-position model. The record is from RNAcentral.